Molecule: transfer RNA, 69 nt
Filed under: Tupaia nicobarica (Nicobar tree shrew)
Lineage: Eukaryota; Metazoa; Chordata; Mammalia; Scandentia; Tupaiidae
Description: tRNA-Ser
Rfam family: tRNA
About the family: Transfer RNA (tRNA) molecules are approximately 80 nucleotides in length. Their secondary structure includes four short double-helical elements and three loops (D, anti-codon, and T loops).
Source: RNAcentral
AAGAGAGUCGUAGAGGUUACGGAGUUGGCUUGAAACCAAUUUUUGGGGGUUCGAUUCCUUCCUUUCUUG